AAUUCUCAACCAUCCUUUUGAUUUAUUUCGAGGGGAUGGCUUGGAUUUUGGGAGUUGCCGGCUGACCACGGUCGGCUCUCCUUAAAAGCAUUAGCGAAAGGUGACAAGCCCUGCAUGCACGGCCUUUGACGUGAUAAUGAUCGUCGUGGCUGGAGUGUGAGGCAUAGAUCGUCCUUUUGCUUCGAAAAACAUGGUAUUUUGGGGAGUUUGCUUCGGCGGACGAACCUUUUUACCCCUUUGAC
This 242-nucleotide unclassified non-coding RNA is filed under the name uncultured Melanogaster. Its description in RNAcentral is "sequence contains ITS2". Lineage: Eukaryota; Fungi; Basidiomycota; Agaricomycetes; Boletales; Melanogastraceae. The record is from RNAcentral.